CCUACGGGAGGCAGCAGUGGGGAAUAUUGGACAAUGGGCGCAAGCCUGAUCCAGCCAUACCGCGUGUGUGAAGAAGGCCUUUUGGUUGUAAAGCACUUUAAGCGAGGAGGAGGCUCUUGAGGAUAAUACCCUUGAUGAGUGGACGUUACUCGCAGAAUAAGCACCGGCUAACUCUGUGCCAGCAGCCGCGGUAAUACAGAGGGUGCGAGCGUUAAUCGGAAUUACUGGGCGUAAAGCGCGCGUAGGCGGCUUGUUAAGUCGGAUGUGAAAUCCCCGGGCUCAACCUGGGCACUGCAUUCGAUACUGGCAAGCUAGAGUAUGGGAGAGGAAGGUAGAAUUCCAGGUGUAGCGGUGAAAUGCGUAGAGAUCUGGAGGAAUACCGAUGGCGAAGGCAGCCUUCUGGCCUAAUACUGACGCUGAGGUGCGAAAGCAUGGGGAGCAAACAGGAUUAGAUACCCUGGUAGUCCAUGCCGUAAACGAUGUCAACUAGCCGUUGGGGACCUUGAGUCUUAGUGCGCAGCUAACGCGAUAAGUUGACCGCCUGGGGAGUACGGUCGCAAAGACUAAAACUUAAAUGAAUUGACGG
RNAcentral lists this ribosomal RNA (586 nucleotides) under uncultured bacterium. RNAcentral describes it as "bacterial SSU rRNA". It matches the Rfam family "Bacterial small subunit ribosomal RNA", at positions 338 to 916 of the family's 1533-position model. The record is from RNAcentral.